This 21-nucleotide non-coding RNA is filed under the name Caenorhabditis elegans. Lineage: Eukaryota; Metazoa; Nematoda; Chromadorea; Rhabditida; Rhabditidae. The record is from RNAcentral.
UCUGAGUCGAAAAAAAAGCGA